This 370-nucleotide ribosomal RNA is filed under the name uncultured organism. RNAcentral's name for it is "partial 16S ribosomal RNA". It matches the Rfam family "Bacterial small subunit ribosomal RNA", at positions 527 to 896 of the family's 1533-position model. The record is from RNAcentral.
GGAGGGUGCGAGCGUUGUUCGGAAUUACUGGGCGUAAAGCGCGUGUAGGCGGCUACUUAUGUCGGGUGUGAAAGCCCUGGGCCCAACCCAGGAAGUGCGUCCGAAACUGAGUAGCUUGAGUACGAGAGAGGAGGACGGAAUUCCCAGUGUAGAGGUGAAAUUCGUAGAUAUUGGGAGGAACACCGGUGGCGAAAGCGGUUCUCUGGAUCGAUACUGACGCUAAGACGCGAAAGCGUGGGUAGCAAACAGGGAUUAGAUACCCUGGUAGUCCACGCCGUAAACGAUGGAUAUUAGGUGUUGCGGGUGAUCCUCGCAGUGCCGUCGCUAACGCAUUAAAUAUCCCGCCUGGGGGAUACGGCCCGCAAGGUUA